Molecule: ribosomal RNA, 1512 nt
Filed under: Bacillus safensis
Lineage: Bacteria; Bacillati; Bacillota; Bacilli; Caryophanales; Bacillaceae
Description: bacterial SSU rRNA
Rfam family: Bacterial small subunit ribosomal RNA
Source: RNAcentral
UUUUUUUUUUUUUUUUUUUUUUCUCUUCAGACGAACGCUGGCGGCGUGCCUAAUACAUGCAAGUCGAGCGGACAGAAGGGAGCUUGCUCCCGGAUGUUAGCGGCGGACGGGUGAGUAACACGUGGGUAACCUGCCUGUAAGACUGGGAUAACUCCGGGAAACCGGAGCUAAUACCGGAUAGUUCCUUGAACCGCAUGGUUCAAGGAUGAAAGACGGUUUCGGCUGUCACUUACAGAUGGACCCGCGGCGCAUUAGCUAGUUGGUGGGGUAAUGGCUCACCAAGGCGACGAUGCGUAGCCGACCUGAGAGGGUGAUCGGCCACACUGGGACUGAGACACGGCCCAGACUCCUACGGGAGGCAGCAGUAGGGAAUCUUCCGCAAUGGACGAAAGUCUGACGGAGCAACGCCGCGUGAGUGAUGAAGGUUUUCGGAUCGUAAAGCUCUGUUGUUAGGGAAGAACAAGUGCGAGAGUAACUGCUCGCACCUUGACGGUACCUAACCAGAAAGCCACGGCUAACUACGUGCCAGCAGCCGCGGUAAUACGUAGGUGGCAAGCGUUGUCCGGAAUUAUUGGGCGUAAAGGGCUCGCAGGCGGUUUCUUAAGUCUGAUGUGAAAGCCCCCGGCUCAACCGGGGAGGGUCAUUGGAAACUGGGAAACUUGAGUGCAGAAGAGGAGAGUGGAAUUCCACGUGUAGCGGUGAAAUGCGUAGAGAUGUGGAGGAACACCAGUGGCGAAGGCGACUCUCUGGUCUGUAACUGACGCUGAGGAGCGAAAGCGUGGGGAGCGAACAGGAUUAGAUACCCUGGUAGUCCACGCCGUAAACGAUGAGUGCUAAGUGUUAGGGGGUUUCCGCCCCUUAGUGCUGCAGCUAACGCAUUAAGCACUCCGCCUGGGGAGUACGGUCGCAAGACUGAAACUCAAAGGAAUUGACGGGGGCCCGCACAAGCGGUGGAGCAUGUGGUUUAAUUCGAAGCAACGCGAAGAACCUUACCAGGUCUUGACAUCCUCUGACAACCCUAGAGAUAGGGCUUUCCCUUCGGGGACAGAGUGACAGGUGGUGCAUGGUUGUCGUCAGCUCGUGUCGUGAGAUGUUGGGUUAAGUCCCGCAACGAGCGCAACCCUUGAUCUUAGUUGCCAGCAUUCAGUUGGGCACUCUAAGGUGACUGCCGGUGACAAACCGGAGGAAGGUGGGGAUGACGUCAAAUCAUCAUGCCCCUUAUGACCUGGGCUACACACGUGCUACAAUGGACAGAACAAAGGGCUGCAAGACCGCAAGGUUUAGCCAAUCCCAUAAAUCUGUUCUCAGUUCGGAUCGCAGUCUGCAACUCGACUGCGUGAAGCUGGAAUCGCUAGUAAUCGCGGAUCAGCAUGCCGCGGUGAAUACGUUCCCGGGCCUUGUACACACCGCCCGUCACACCACGAGAGUUUGCAACACCCGAAGUCGGUGAGGUAACCUUUAUGGAGCCAGCCGCCGAAGGUGGGGCAGAUGAUUGGGGUGAAGCAAAAGGGG